GACAAGUGUUGCAGGUUUUGCUGAGACAGCAGUGCUGGAUGGGAUACCAAUUAACGGUAGUUGUACUGGUAAUGUGGGCGUUGCUCUGGUUUGAGCCUAACAAUCCGUAUUACCUAGGUCAGCGAGCUCUGGAAAAACGAUAAUGAUUUCCUGUCACCAUAUACUGUCUUGAUCCUUCAACGUUCUCCUGGGAACAGAACGUUCCUGCUGGUUUCAUU
This is a non-coding RNA of Pelobates cultripes (western spadefoot toad), 218 nucleotides long. The record is from the annotation of a GenBank genome assembly. NCBI's taxonomy places the organism in Eukaryota, Metazoa, Chordata, Amphibia, Anura, Pelobatidae.